RNAcentral lists this ribosomal RNA (565 nucleotides) under Oblongocollomyces variabilis. RNAcentral's name for it is "eukaryotic LSU rRNA". It matches the Rfam family "Eukaryotic large subunit ribosomal RNA", at positions 52 to 632 of the family's 3401-position model. Lineage: Eukaryota; Fungi; Ascomycota; Dothideomycetes; Botryosphaeriales; Botryosphaeriaceae. The record is from RNAcentral.
GGAGGAAAAGAAACCAACAGGGAUUGCCUUAGUAACGGCGAGUGAAGCGGCAACAGCUCAAAUUUGAAAGCUGGCCCUUUUAGGGUCCGCGUUGUAAUUUGUAGAGGAUGAUUCGGCGAGGGCUCCCGCCUAAGUCCCCUGGAACGGGGCGUCAUAGAGGGUGAGAAUCCCGUAUGCGGUGGGUUGCCUUAGCCAUGUGAAUCUCCUUCGACGAGUCGAGUUGUUUGGGAAUGCAGCUCUAAAUUGGAGGUAAAUUUCUUCUAAAGCUAAAUACUGGCCAGAGACCGAUAGCGCACAAGUAGAGUGAUCGAAAGAUGAAAAGCACUUUGGAAAGAGAGUUAAAAAGCACGUGAAAUUGUUGAAAGGGAAGCGCUUGCAACCAGACUUGUCCGCAGUUGCUCAACCGGUCUCCUGACCGGUGUACUCUUCUGCGGCCAGGCCAGCAUCAGUUCGGGCGGUCGGAUAAAGACCUUGGGAAUGUAGCUCCUCUCGGGGAGUGUUAUAGCCCAAGGUGGAAUGCGGCCAGCCUGGACUGAGGAACUCGCUUCGGCAAGGAUGCUGGCGU